RNAcentral lists this transfer RNA (77 nucleotides) under [Desulfovibrio] dechloracetivorans. Its description in RNAcentral is "Desulfovibrio dechloracetivorans tRNA-Pro". It matches the Rfam family "tRNA". Rfam says of the family: Transfer RNA (tRNA) molecules are approximately 80 nucleotides in length. Their secondary structure includes four short double-helical elements and three loops (D, anti-codon, and T loops). The record is from RNAcentral. RNAcentral also lists the same sequence under 4 other names. Lineage: Bacteria; Pseudomonadati; Thermodesulfobacteriota; Desulfovibrionia; Desulfovibrionales; Desulfovibrionaceae.
CGGAGUGUGGCGCAGACUGGUAGCGCGCCUGCUUUGGGAGCAGGAUGCCGGGGGUUCAAAUCCCUCCACUCCGACCA